Molecule: ribosomal RNA, 1000 nt
Filed under: Lacticaseibacillus casei
Lineage: Bacteria; Bacillati; Bacillota; Bacilli; Lactobacillales; Lactobacillaceae
Description: bacterial SSU rRNA
Rfam family: Bacterial small subunit ribosomal RNA
Source: RNAcentral
GACGUCGUAAUAGGUAGGAGGCUAUUCGUGAUUCUUGUAUUUAUUGAACGCAAAGCGAGCGCAGGCUGUUUUUUUAAGUCUGAUGUGAAAGCCCUCGGCUUAACCGAGGAAGCGCAUCGGAAACUGGGAAACUUGAGUGCAGAAGAGGACAGUGGAACUCCAUGUGUAGCGGUGAAAUGCGUAGAUAUAUGGAAGAACACCAGUGGCGAAGGCGGCUGUCUGGUCUGUAACUGACGCUGAGGCUCGAAAGCAUGGGUAGCGAACAGGAUUAGAUACCCUGGUAGUCCAUGCCGUAAACGAUGAAUGCUAGGUGUUGGAGGGUUUCCGCCCUUCAGUGCCGCAGCUAACGCAUUAAGCAUUCCGCCUGGGGAGUACGACCGCAAGGUUGAAACUCAAAGGAAUUGACGGGGGCCCGCACAAGCGGUGGAGCAUGUGGUUUAAUUCGAAGCAACGCGAAGAACCUUACCAGGUCUUGACAUCUUUUGAUCACCUGAGAGAUCAGGUUUCCCCUUCGGGGGCAAAAUGACAGGUGGUGCAUGGUUGUCGUCAGCUCGUGUCGUGAGAUGUUGGGUUAAGUCCCGCAACGAGCGCAACCCUUAUGACUAGUUGCCAGCAUUUAGUUGGGCACUCUAGUAAGACUGCCGGUGACAAACCGGAGGAAGGUGGGGAUGACGUCAAAUCAUCAUGCCCCUUAUGACCUGGGCUACACACGUGCUACAAUGGAUGGUACAACGAGUUGCGAGACCGCGAGGUCAAGCUAAUCUCUUAAAGCCAUUCUCAGUUCGGACUGUAGGCUGCAACUCGCCUACACGAAGUCGGAAUCGCUAGUAAUCGCGGAUCAGCACGCCGCGGUGAAUACGUUCCCGGGCCUUGUACACACCGCCCGUCACACCAUGAGAGUUUGUAACACCCGAAGCCGGUGGCGUAACCCUUUUAGGGAGCGAGCCGUCUAAGGUGGGACAAAUGAUUAGGGUGAAGUCGUAACAAGAGCCGAGUUCCC